This 234-nucleotide ribosomal RNA is filed under the name uncultured bacterium. Its description in RNAcentral is "partial 16S ribosomal RNA". It matches the Rfam family "Bacterial small subunit ribosomal RNA", at positions 96 to 334 of the family's 1533-position model. The record is from RNAcentral.
CGGCGGACGGGUGAGUAAUGUAUGGGGAUCUGCCUGAUGGCGGGGGAUAACUACUGGAAACGGUAGCUAAUACCGCAUAACGUCGCAAGACCAAAGAGGGGACCUUAGGGCCUCUUGCCAUCGGAUGUGCCCAGAUGGGAUUAGCUAGUAGGUGGGGUAACGGCUCACCUAGGCGACGACCCCUAGCUGGUCUGAGAGGAUGACCAGCCACACUGGAACUGAGACACGGUCCAG